This 3253-nucleotide long non-coding RNA is filed under the name Musa acuminata (dwarf banana). RNAcentral describes it as "long non-coding RNA (MACU_LNC001162)". The record is from RNAcentral. Lineage: Eukaryota; Viridiplantae; Streptophyta; Magnoliopsida; Zingiberales; Musaceae.
GUAAGGCAAAUUUGAAAUUUGUUUAUAUUAUCUGGGCUACCUUGCUUGAUACUAAUUGUAGUGUUCCGGUUUGCAUAUUUCAUUGUUUGGCAUCAAUUUAAUUACUAAUCUGUACCUGUAAUUACAUCUCCUGUUGAAUUUUACUUUAAGCUGCAUGAUUGUUCUUUAUUGAUGGGUAACCUCAAUUUGUGUUGUGACAUUUAAUUUUUAACUAAACACCAUUCACAUUUUUUAAACUUGUUAGUUCAAAUUAUUCUAUCAAUAACAAUUUGGACUUAUUUUGGAACUUCAAACUAAGAUUCCUGUAAACAACUUUGCACCUGAUCAAGUGCCCUUGCUGACUUCAAAAGAUGCUGAUACCACUAGUCAUGAAUCUUUAAAACAGGGGAAAGUAAGGGAAAUUUGAAAUUUGUUUAUAAUAUCUGGGCUACCUUGCUUGAUACUAAUUGUAGUGUUCAGGUUUGCAUAUUUUAUUGUUUGGCAUCAAUUUAAUUACUAAUCUGUACCUGUAAUUACAUCCUCCUGUUGAAUUUUGUUUUAAGCAGCAUGAUUUGUUCUUUAUUGAUGGGUAACCUCAAUUUGUGUUGUGACAUUUAAUUUUUAACUAAACACCAUUCACAUUUUUUAAACUUGGCAGUGAAAAUUAUUCUUUCAAGUUUCAAUAACAAUUCAGACUUAUUUUGUCAAAUGAAAUGGUAAACAGCAGAUUCUGGACUUGUUAAUUUUGUUGUUCAAAUAGUGGUUGCACUAAUCAAAAUUUUAUUAGUGAUUUUUCUUGAAACUAAUCAGCUCUACUAGUACCAAAGAUUUGCCCAACUUUGGCCCGCAUAUGAGGCCAACUCGAAUAGUAGUAUGUAGAAUUUAUCUUUUCUGAUUUGUUUUGGUUCUUAGUUUGAUUAGCAGUAUUGGAGCACUAGUAGCUCUGUAUACGUAGGUAUGCUUUUAAACCUCUAUGGCUAUGCUUUGCUUCUUGUUUUCUCUCUUUUAUGCUUAAUAAAGUUAGAUUAAUUUAGUAAUUAGUAGUAACCAUAGUUGUAGCUUUUGGAGGUUUCUUCUUAAACAUAGGGUAGAGAAGCACGCAACAAUAUUUUAAGUGAGGUUUUAAAUAUCAGAUGGAUUGUACAAGUUCAACCUUUUUUUAAGGUUUGACUGUGACUAGUGCUAAAAUGAGACUGGCAUUUGGAACCUUGACUUUAACAAGUUGUUCCUCUGAUGUCUGGGUGAUAGAAUGACCAUUUGAAGCUCUAUAUUUUCUCCAUUUUUUAUCCAUGUUUAGUUGCACGGAGAUGAUCUACUUAAAUGGAGACAACUGUAUAAUGUCUAUAUGUGCUGCCAUAAUUGGCAAGAUGUCUCAGAUGUUUUUUAGAUUUCAAAUGCUAAUUGCUUACAUGUGCUGAAAUUUUGACUUGCAUGGAUGUGCUCUUUCCCAAGAACACACAAAGUAAGAUCAAAUUUGGUGUUUGAUGCUAAAAUUAGGUGCACACCAUAAGCAAUGUUUUUUUAGAAUAAUAUGUAGAUCAAGGAUUUAAAUUUGGUCCAAUAUCCUGUAAUCAAUUGGACUAGUUGGGUAUUGGUAUAUCAGAUUAUCAUGAAUGAUCGUCGUGCACUUGCAACACCUUCGUCAACAGACUGUUUGUCCUUAUGUUUGCUUAUACAGUCGUUUGACAGGAUGUUUUGUAUUGUUUUUAUGUGUUUUUGCUUGGUUUCUAUAAGCAAAAGCAGUUUACGAAGCUGCACAAUGACCGCUCGCCAAAUUAGGCAAAACUAUUUGAAGCCCAGUUUUCAUGUGCUGCUGCCAGUUUUCUAUAAGCUGCAAUGCGGUACGAAACAUUAGCUAUCCCAACACCCUAGAACCACCCAGGUGGCAUAGGGCUGGUUGAGACUUUGGGGUAGUGUUGGGUUAUGUUUGGAUAACUAUUUGCAGGCUUCCGAUUGUUCUUUUGUCUUUGGAAGUCUUUGUUUUCACAUUCCUCUCUUUUUUUUCUUUGCACACUAAAUGUUUGCUAAAUUGCUUAUAAGCUGUGUUUUUUCCUUUUAACAAAUGUUGGGACUUAUUUGUUGCUUGUUUUCUAGAAAUCUAAUUAAUACUUGUACGAGGUUGUUUCUAGGUUGACCCUUUGCAAACGAAUAUUGCAAGGGUGUCUCACAACUCAGAUAAUUCCAGCUAAGUCGUGAUCCAUACGGCCUUGUAUUACCAUAAAAGAUUAAUAAAACAUGGUACCAACUGUAUGGUUCCAUUUGUACCGACCAUUACAAUUUAGAUUUGAUUCCUCGGUAUAGGUAAUGCUCAUUGUAGUGUAGGCUUUUUAAUUAUGUGUGGUAGGGACCCAGCUUGACUCAGUCUUCCUCAGCCCUAAGACUUGGCCGAAUGAGGAUGGAGUCAACCUAUUUUUGCCUUGCUGUGCCUGCUGAGGAGACAGCAGCAGGCUGCAGCAGUGUUGAAUGCUUCUGAUGCUAAUCCUCUAAGUUGGAAAAGGAGAAGAGAAGGGGGAGGGAGACGGAGAACAAUCACACAUCUUCUUGUUGCUUGUUGCUGCAUGCAGAGAGGUUUCACUUCCCAUGUGCCUUCAUGUGACUACUUGCUCAUUAGAGUCAUGGGAUUAUUGUUUCAUUAAUUCAUGACCUACUCCCAUCUGGUUUUUUUCUGUUUCUAUUAAAUUUUGGAUAUUGUUUUUUUAUUUAGAUGAUUCAUUUCAUGAGUCUAUUAUUAUUCUGCCUUGAUAAUAACAAUAUUUUUGAAGAUAUGUAGGCUUUUACUAAAUUUCAUACAGUAUUUUUUUUAAUACUUGCACUUUCAGCUUUGAGCACUUGGGUAUGCUCGUAAAUCCAGUUCUCAUAUGUCCAUGCAAGACUUGCUGAACUCUACAUAUGUGUAAAAUCAGGCAUUAUGGGAUGACUAUGCCAUGUGUCAUCUCACGGAGAAUUUGUUUGUAUUAUAUAUAGCGCAUUUUUGCUGUCAAUCAAUGCUAACUGACACACAUGAUAGGAGGCUCUCAUUUGAUUAUUUAGCUCUCAUCAUUUCGGCCAGAUGAAUGUGAACUUGCCUUUAUAAAGGCAUAAUAGAACAUCUUAAAUAUUCUAGUGUCAUUGAGAUAGUAGAACAAUGCCUGAUGUUUGUGCUAUGCUACAGGUGAAAAUGCUAAAAAUGCUAAGAAUUCAUUUUGUUUGGCUCUCAAAUUAUUCUUAUUUGUGAAAUUUAAUCUUUAGGCACUUAUUUUACUGGAGUGACUACUGGCUUUUUGUUUAACGCAGC